RNAcentral lists this ribosomal RNA (741 nucleotides) under uncultured bacterium. RNAcentral's name for it is "bacterial SSU rRNA". It matches the Rfam family "Bacterial small subunit ribosomal RNA", at positions 62 to 787 of the family's 1533-position model. The record is from RNAcentral.
UCGCACGAGAACGUUCUGGCUUUGCCAGAACAAGUACAGUGGCGGACGGGUGCGUAUCGCGUAGAUAACCAGCCCUUAGGCGCGGGACAAUCACGGGAAACCGUGGCUAAUACCGCACGUCGUCUGGGCCCCGCAUGGGGACCAGAUGAAAGCUUGGGGUUACCCAGGCGCCUUGGGAUGGGUCUGCGUUGGAUUAGCUUGUUGGUGAGGCAACGGCUCACCAAGGCGACGAUCCAUAGCUGGUCUGAGAGGACGAUCAGCCACACUGGGACUGAGACACGGCCCAGACUCCUACGGGAGGCAGCAGUGGGGAAUCCUGCACAAUGGGGUCACCCCUGAUGCAGCCAUGCCGCGUGGAGGAAGACACCCCUAUGGGGCGUAAACUCCUUUUCUGAAUGAAGAAACCCCUGUAGGUUCAGGGCGCGACGGUAGUUCAGGAAUAAGCACCGGCUAACUCCGUGCCAGCAGCCGCGGUAAUACGGAGGGUGCAAGCGUUGUCCGGAAUCACUGGGUGUAAAGGGUGUGCAGGCGGGGCAACAAGUCGGAUGUGAAACCCCAUGGCUCAACCAUGGAGGUGCAUUCGAAACUGUUGCUCUUGAGCCCCGGAGAGGCUGUCGGAAUUCGUGGUGUAGCGGUGAAAUGCGUAGAUAUCACGAGGAACACCAGAGGCGAAAGCGGGCAGCUGGACGGGUACUGACGCUCAGGCACGAAAGCGUGGGGAGCAAACAGGAUUAGAUACCC